AGAAGAAGGCAAGUUCGCUUGUCUACAUAAAGCCCUAAGGAACAAAGUCCCCUUCCGACUUCUACUACCGUCCCUUUCACUGGGCGGCUAAGGAACUGAGGCCAAAGGACCAAGAUGACCAUUUCCCUACCCAAUCAACAGCUUCACUCCACCAUGACCAAGACAAAGGCCCCUUUGGCUCUUUCAGGGAAAAGAAGAGGUUGUGGCAAGUCUCUUAUAAUUGACAGUCUGCAGAAAUGAUACCUGAAAAUAUAACCUCGUUUCCCAUCAUUGAAAGACCUCAUCUCAAGUUUCAUGGAAUAGAUUUGGCUUUUGACUGGACUUCACUGGAUGGUGCUGGCGAAGGUGGGGAUGGGCAGGGAGAACACACACUGAAAACACCCACAAAACAGGAGCCAGGCGUUGCUGAAUUAGAAGCUGUUUUCAGCCUGGAUGUAUUUAGAUCCUGGAGAGGGACAGAAAGGCCAGAGAAGAGUAAGAAAGAAAUUCUGCUCCAAUAGCAGGGACAAGUGGUAGAGGGACUCUGAGCCCUGGCCUCUGGGCACACCUGUGGUGGCAUUCCCACUACCUUUUCAGGUGACAUCCAGUUCCUCCCACUCCUAUAUGAGCAAACAUCAGUGUCACUCGUGCAGGGAUG
Grammomys surdaster is the source of this 637-nucleotide long non-coding RNA. RefSeq lists it as uncharacterized. NCBI's taxonomy places the organism in Eukaryota, Metazoa, Chordata, Mammalia, Rodentia, Muridae. The record is from RefSeq and is a predicted model, not a curated record. The transcript has 4 exons.